This is a long non-coding RNA of Catharus ustulatus (Swainson's thrush), 474 nucleotides long. RefSeq lists it as uncharacterized. NCBI's taxonomy places the organism in Eukaryota, Metazoa, Chordata, Aves, Passeriformes, Turdidae. The transcript has 2 exons. The record is from RefSeq and is a predicted model, not a curated record.
ACCUCUGAGAAGGUUGAAGAAGCUCUAGAGGACUUGAGGUCCUUUUCUCCCUCAUAUUUUUAGUGGUUCCUUCCAACCUUCCUGCGCGUUCACCGCCCGCCGCCGCCAUCUUGAGGCGCGGCGGGCCCAUUCAACAAGAUGCCGGCACCCUUCCACCAUCUCCGGUGCUAUUUUGAAAUAAAUUUUAAAGCGAAUCGCAGCCAAACUGAGCACGGCGGAUUCGCCGUCACGAUUCAUCCCGCCCCACCGUUUUAAGCCAACGGAGAACGGGGAGAAGGGCGGAAAGGCGAGGUUUUAAUACGCCCACAGGGCGCCGCCAUGUUGUACGGCAGGACGCAGCUGAGGCGCACUUCCGCUUCCGGUGGGGGAGCGGCCCCUCAGCGGUGGCGGAGCGGGGGCCCUCCCCCAAAAUUUGCCCAAAUUCUUGAAGAUUUGCCCCAAAAAUGAGCUGAGCUCUUGGAUGGAGCCCUGGGA